UGGAAGUAAAAGUCGUAACAAGGUUUCCGUAGGUGAACCUGCGGAAGGAUCAUUACCUAGAGUUUGUAGACUUCGGUCUGCUACCUCUUACCCAUGUCUUUUGAGUACCUUCGUUUCCUCGGCGGGUCCGCCCGCCGAUUGGACAACAUUCAAACCCUUUGCAGUUGCAAUCAGCGUCUGAAAAAACAUAAUAGUUACAACUUUCAACAACGGAUCUCUUGGUUCUGGCAUCGAUGAAGAACGCAGCGAAAUGCGAUAAGUAGUGUGAAUUGCAGAAUUCAGUGAAUCAUCGAAUCUUUGAACGCACAUUGCGCCCCUUGGUAUUCCAUGGGGCAUGCCUGUUCGAGCGUCAUUUGUACCUUCAAGCUCUGCUUGGUGUUGGGUGUUUGUCUCGCCUCUGCGUGUAGACUCGCCUUAAAACAAUUGGCAGCCGGCGUAUUGAUUUCGGAGCGCAGUACAUCUCGCGCUUUGCACUCACAACGACGACGUCCAAAAGUACAUUUUUACACUCUUGACCUCGGAUCAGGUAGGGAUACCCGCUGAACUUAAGCAUAUCAAUAAGCGGAGGA
RNAcentral lists this unclassified non-coding RNA (569 nucleotides) under Epicoccum nigrum. Its description in RNAcentral is "sequence contains 18S rRNA gene, ITS1, 5.8S rRNA gene, ITS2, 28S rRNA gene". The stretch from base 199 to 352 matches the Rfam family "5.8S ribosomal RNA". The record is from RNAcentral. Lineage: Eukaryota; Fungi; Ascomycota; Dothideomycetes; Pleosporales; Didymellaceae.